AUCCGGUGAAAUUUUAAUACCUGUGAAGAUGCAGGUUACCCGCGACAAGACGGAAAGACCCCAUGGAGCUUUACUGCAGCUUGAUAUUGAAUUUGGGUACGAUCUGUACAGGAUAGGUGGGAGCCGUAGAACCUUGAGCGCCAGCUUGAGGGGAGGCAUCCUUGGGAUACCACCCUGAUCGUAUCUAGGUUCUAACUUGGUACCGUGAUCCGGUGCGAGGACAGUGUCAGGUGGGCAGUUUGACUGGGGCGGUCGCCUCCUAAAGAGUAACGGAGGCGCCCCAAGGUUCCCUCAGAAUGGUUGGAAAUCAUUCGAAGAGUGCAAAGGCAGAAGG
This 334-nucleotide ribosomal RNA is filed under the name Paenibacillus jamilae. RNAcentral describes it as "bacterial LSU rRNA". It matches the Rfam family "Bacterial large subunit ribosomal RNA", at positions 2031 to 2364 of the family's 2925-position model. Lineage: Bacteria; Bacillati; Bacillota; Bacilli; Caryophanales; Paenibacillaceae. The record is from RNAcentral.